Molecule: long non-coding RNA, 707 nt
Organism: Stomoxys calcitrans (stable fly)
Lineage: Eukaryota; Metazoa; Arthropoda; Insecta; Diptera; Muscidae
Exons: 3
Source: RefSeq, a predicted model, not a curated record
ACAACUUGAAAUAAUGUCAAGAUGAAGCGGUGAAUAUUUAGUUCGAUAAUGUGAAACUUAUAAACUAAAAAAAAGUAAAGAACUAGAACAUCUACAUAGAAGGAGAACGACGUUUAUAAUGAUGUAUAUUUUAUUCUUGCGGCUCAAUUUGGCAGUGUACAGAAAGGAAUUGUUCAGAUAUGACAGCCUAGUGGAACUCGCGCCACCAUCCCCACAGGAUGAUAUUUCGUUCUUUUUUGCGGAAAAAUAUUUGAAAAUCGUUCAUUCGGUGGUUUAACAAGGUUACCACAUCUUUUUUGGGCCAAAAAGUUGCCAUCUACAUAUAAAAAUUAAUAUGGCAUCAAACAAUUUAUCGGCUGCUUACGAGCAUGUGUACACACAAAUGUGAGUGUGUGGAUCGUUCUGAAAUUCAUGUAUGUUGUCGCAAUUUCAACCAAAACCCACCCCUUCGUAAUUAAUGGUGUAUGGUGGUGUGUAAUUAAUGCAGUAUUUAUUUGUAAAUAUAAUUAGACUUUUGCACUGUUAUAAUGUAAAUAACCACAACUUUCCAAAAGCUGUUUUCAGCAUCUUCAACCCUUAUCCAAAUAUUGUUGUUGUAAUUGCAAGACCAAAAGCACAACACAUUCUUUCACAAACCGUAUUAUUUCGUACUGAUUGAUUGAGUUGCUUGUUGUGAAAGAAACAUUUAUUUUUCGUUCCAAGUAUAU